Molecule: ribosomal RNA, 544 nt
Filed under: Paratylenchus peraticus
Lineage: Eukaryota; Metazoa; Nematoda; Chromadorea; Rhabditida; Tylenchulidae
Description: partial large subunit ribosomal RNA
Rfam family: Eukaryotic large subunit ribosomal RNA
Source: RNAcentral
GGAUAGAGCCAGCGAAGUCGCCUGUAUUCAGCAAAGGGUCGUGGGCUUAAGUGCGGUUGGCAUGUUAAACAGGCGAGACUGUCUGUUUAUGCCUGUGGUAGAGGUGCAUUUGCGAGCGUUUGAGCUGAGACUUGCGGGGCAGUUGCUUAACAAGUGACAUAGAGGCUUCCCUCUGGGUUGUACCUUUGCGCGAUUAUGGUUGUUUGCCCUACUCGUAACGGGCUUGGCCUCUCGAGUCCAUGCGUUUGUUAUUUCGUCUUGGCCAUGUGAUCACAUGCGACGCUCCGCGCUGGGCGUCUCCGCUGCGUAUGGUUUCCCUAGUUCGCUCUCGGUGUAGAAGCUGGUCAGCUAUCCGACCCGUCUUGAAACACGGACCAAGGAGUUUAGCGUAUGCGCGAGUAUUGGGUGUUCAAACUCACAGGCACAAUGAAAGUGAAGACCCAGUCCUGGGCUUACAUGUGAAUGGUAGGACUUCGUUCGACCAUGCAACAUGGUCCCGUUCCAAUCGCUUGCAAUGGAGCGGAGACAGAGCGUAUGCGCUGAG